UUUUUUUUUUUUUUUGGCUUUUUAGGGCUGCACCCAUGGCAUAGGGAGGUUCCCAGGCUAGUGGUCGAAUCAGAGCUGUAGCCGCCGCCCUAUGCCACAGCCACAGCCACAGCCACGCCAGAUCUGAGCCAUGUCUGCGACCUACACCACAGCUCAUGGCAAAGCCAGACCCUUAACCCACUGAGCAGAGACUAAAUAGAACACAAAAGACCCACAAACUGCUGCUGUUGGUAUAUAAACAUCUAACUAAACACUAGGAUAAGUCAGGCCUAGUAAAUCUGUCUUCUCAGAAAUUAGAAUAGGGCUAUCAAAAAUAGUAAUCAUUGGAGUUCCUGUUGUGGCUCAGUGGUUAACAAAGCUGACUAGUAUCCACGAGGACAUGGGUUCAAUCCCUGGCCUUGCUCAGUGGGUUAGGGAUCCGGCAUUGCCCUGAGCUGUGGUGUAGGUCACAGACUCGGCUUGGAUUGGGCACUGCUGUGGCACAGGCUGGCAGCUGUAGCACCAAUUUGACUCCUAGCCUGGGAACCUCCAUAUGUCAAAGGUGCAGCCCUAAAGAGACACACAAACACACAAAAAAGCAGUAAUCAUAGCUAGCAAAGGGAACUGAAGCUGAAAGAAUACAUAGCAAGCCAAUAUAAUGCAGAGGUGAGGCCACAAAGGCCACAAGGAAGCAAAACUUACGGCAAAGGUGAAGCCCUAAGUAAGCAGAACCUAUGAAUAAGCUAAAAAUAUGAGGAGGGAAAAAAAAAGAUAAAACAAAAUGGACAGGCCAGGCCAACAGGCAGUAAGAGAAAUAAGACACAAAAGUUAAGACAGAGUAGCUCAGUUACAUAAACGGCACAAUCCUAACAUGAAGAACCACAAACUCUUGCUGCUGAGUUUCCCAGAGCUUCUCUGGACCCAGGUCCCAUUCCCUAAAAGCCAUAACCAUAUUAAAGUUCCCCUAUAUUUGGAAUGUCAUGUGAUUCCAGUCACCAUUAUUUUCCCACAAGCCAAACAAUAACUUGUCAUUAGAUCAUUGUGGAAUCUGUUUCUAGCAAUCAGAAGUGCCUAAUCAAUAGUAAGAAGCAGAAUAGCCCCUCAUGGGGAAUGCAAUUUAGGGAACUGACUGUGAUCUUGUGGAAAACCCCUUGUUUUAAAGAUGCUGUGCAAACCAGCUUGUGGCAUGGAAUUUACAUUUUAUAUUCAAUUUAGAAGGUGAGAGGUUGAGAGACUUGGUAGAUGCUGCAAAGAAGCAGCAUUAGGGAGCUAAAGUGGACAGAAUAAAGCAGAUACGUCAUAGUGUCACCCAUGCUCAAAAUUCUUCUAAAGGAAACUGUACUGCAAACAAGUCUAGCCAAGAAAACAUUCUUGCCACCAAUUAUCCCUCCUCUGAAUCCAUGGCUAUUCAGAUCAAGGGUAAGAAUCAGAACCAAGGACAGACAUCCACAAGCCAGUCAUCAGCCUAUGAUUUACUAUAUGAAAGCUGUCCCCAAACAACGAGGUGAGAAAAUUAGGUUUAACUUACAACUGAGGAAAAAGAGAGGAGUAAAAUUACUCUGCAGCUGAAAUGAAUGGAUAUGUGAUCAAAGAAUAUACCACAGCCUAUGUUAAGAAUCAUGAAGGAUUUAAGUAAGAUCAACUGGUAAACCCAAAAAUAAGAAGCUAAAAAUUAGCAGAAACUAUCCAUCAGAAAUAGGAUAAAGAACAGAGGAUGAGGAAGCCAGAUAGCAGCAGGAAGAUACUCAAAGGAUAUAGAGAAAGCAGGGUCAUGUAUUCAUUUGUGAGACUUCAGGUUCCAAAAAUAGUUAGGUAUGUAUGGUACUUUUGGAUGUCCCACAACUGGGUUGCCUUCUGGUUUUAGAGCAAUUAAGUGACUCUGGAUAUACCUGUGAUAGGUAAGUUAAGUUAGUCUAAAGCACUUUGGGAUUACAAAAAGGGAAAGGAAACCAUUUCCACAUGGCAAUCAAUAGAGGGAAAUGUCCUAGACUGCCAAAUAACAAAUGCUACACCUGUAGUCUGAGGAAACUUAAUCCACAGGCAAUCGGAUUCUCAAUUUAAUGACAACUGGGCAGUAUGGAGACCAAGAAUGGAAACAGAUAUGUGCAGAAAGAUGAGGCUGAGUAGAGACCAUGCCUAUAGAGGCUGCACAAACUCAAGUUAUGAAUGAGAAAAAAACAAAGUACUCAGUAGCUAGGUGGUAGAGGAAGACAGAGUAUGAAGAAACGAGUUGAAAGUAGAAGAUAACAUGCAGAAAACCAGAGAAAUAAGAUGAAUCACAUGAAUAAUACCACAAGGGAGGCAAGUUCUAUAAACUUCUUAAAAUGAUCCAAACGAGCUCAUUUCUUGCAAUAAAAUUUGGAUUGUAAGGAAUACACCCUUAAAAGGAAUGUAAUAUGAAAUUGGUUAUAAUAAAGCAACAAGGUAGAUAGCCAAGCAAAUCACUUUCCUAUCCCAGAAUAUCAUACUAAUGACAUGCAAAGUGGCUACCACCCAGAACUUAAAAUUGGCAGGGAGCUCCCUGGUGGUCUAGUGGUUAGGACUCACUGCUGUGGCCCAGUCUCCCCCUACCCGCUGCCAAAAAUACUGUGAAAUAUAGCCAGAAAUAGGUAAUCAGUAGCAGCGACUGGGGGUGAAAAAGUGCUCUAAGAAGUCAUGAGGGGAGAUGAGAGGCAUAAACAUGAGGAAGUCCACAAUGACUAAGCAGAAACUGUACGAAAGCAAAAGUUAUGAAGCAAAAUGUCAGAGUCGGUGUUAGCAAACAACAGCCCAUAGGCCAAACAAAUCCAGCACCAUCUUUUUUUUUUUUUUUUUUUUUUUUUUUUGUCUGUUUGCCUUUUCUAGGGCCGUUCCCACGGCAUAUAGAGGUUCCCAGGCUAGGGGUCGAAUCAGAGC
This 2874-nucleotide long non-coding RNA is filed under the name Sus scrofa (pig). RNAcentral describes it as "lncRNA (ENSSSCG00060003926.1)". The record is from RNAcentral. Lineage: Eukaryota; Metazoa; Chordata; Mammalia; Artiodactyla; Suidae.